UACGGAGGGUGCAAGCGUUAUCCGGAUUCACUGGGUUUAAAGGGUGCGUAGGAGGGCAGGUAAGUCAGUGGUGAAAUCCCCGAGCUUAACUUGGGAACUGCCGCUGAUACUAUCUGUCUUGAAUGCUGUGGAGGUGAGCGGAAUAUGUCAUGUAGCGGUGAAAUGCGUAGAGAUGUGGAGGAACACCAAUGGCGAAGGCAGCCUUCUGGGCCAACACUGACGCUCAUGCACGAAAGCGUGGGGAGCAAACAGG
Molecule: ribosomal RNA, 253 nt
Filed under: uncultured bacterium
Lineage: Bacteria
Description: partial 16S ribosomal RNA
Rfam family: Bacterial small subunit ribosomal RNA
Source: RNAcentral